GAUGAACGCUAGCUACAGGCUUAACACAUGCAAGUCGAGGGGUAACGAGAGGAAAGCUUGCUUUCCUUGUCGACGACCGGCGCACGGGUGAGUAACGCGUAUCCAACCUGCCCCCAACUAGGGAAUAACCUUGCGAAAGUAAGACUAAUACCCUAUAAUUUCCUCAGAUGUCAUCUGACGAGGAAUAAAGAUUUAUCGGUUGUGGAUGGGGAUGCGUCUGAUUAGCUUGUUGGCGGGGUAACGGCCCGCCAAGGCAACGAUCAGUAGGGGUUCUGAGAGGAAGGUCCCCCACAUUGGAACUGAGACACGGUCCAAACUCCUACGGGAGGCAGCAGUGAGGAAUAUUGGUCAAUGGGCGGAAGCCUGAACCAGCCAAGUAGCGUGCAGGAUGACGGCCCUAUGGGUUGUAAACUGCUUUUAUACAGGAAUAAAGUUAGCCACGUGUGGUUAUUUGUAGGUACUGUAUGAAUAAGGACCGGCUAAUUCCGUGCCAGCCGCCACGGUAA
This 506-nucleotide ribosomal RNA is filed under the name uncultured bacterium. Its description in RNAcentral is "partial 16S ribosomal RNA". It matches the Rfam family "Bacterial small subunit ribosomal RNA", at positions 28 to 523 of the family's 1533-position model. The record is from RNAcentral.